CCACGGAAGUUUUCAGAGAUGAGAAUGUGCCUUCGGGAACCGUGAGACAGGUGCUGCAUGGCUGUCGUCAGCUCGUGUUGUGAAAUGUUGGGUUAAGUCCCGCAACGAGCGCAACCCUUAUCCUUUGUUGCCAGCGGUCCGGCCGGGAACUCAAAGGAGACUGCCAGUGAUAAACUGGAGGAAGGUGGGGAUGACGUCAAGUCAUCAUGGCCCUUACGACCAGGGCUACACACGUGCUACAAUGGCGCAUACAAAGAGAAGCGACCUCGCGAGAGCAAGCGGACCUCAUAAAGUGCGUCGUAGUCCGGAUUGGAGUCUGCAACUCGACUCCAUGAAGUCGGAAUCGCUAGUAAUCGUGGAUCAGAAUGCCACGGUGAAUACGUUCCCGGGCCUUGUACACACCGCCCGUCACACCAUGGGAGUGGGUUGCAAAAGAAGUAGGUAGCUUAACCUUCGGGAGGGCGCUUACCACUUUGUGAUUCAUGACUGGGGUGAAGUCGUAACAAGGUAACCGUAGGGGAACCUGCGGUUGGAUCACCUC
This 541-nucleotide ribosomal RNA is filed under the name Escherichia coli. RNAcentral describes it as "bacterial SSU rRNA". It matches the Rfam family "Bacterial small subunit ribosomal RNA", at positions 988 to 1529 of the family's 1533-position model. The record is from RNAcentral. Lineage: Bacteria; Pseudomonadati; Pseudomonadota; Gammaproteobacteria; Enterobacterales; Enterobacteriaceae.